Molecule: non-coding RNA, 74 nt
Organism: Strongylocentrotus purpuratus (purple sea urchin)
Lineage: Eukaryota; Metazoa; Echinodermata; Echinoidea; Camarodonta; Strongylocentrotidae
Source: the annotation of a RefSeq genome assembly
GCCUCCGUGGCCUAAUGGAUAAGGCAUCGGUUUUCUAAACCGGGGAUUGUGGGUUUCGAGUCCCACCGGAGGUA